GGUUGAACUUGAGUUUGUGGUGUUCAUUGAAUUUGAGUUUGUGGCAUAUUUGAAAUUGAGUUUAUUAUGUUUUUUGAACUUGAGGUUCUGGUGUUUUUUGAACUUGAGUUUGUGGAAAUUGUUGAACUUGGGCUUGUGUCUUGUUUGAACUUGAGUUUGUGGUGUUUGUUGAACUUGAGUUUGUGUUGUUUUUGAACUUCAGUUUGUGUGGUGUUUUUGAACUUGAAUUUGUGUCGUGUUUGAACUUGAGUUUGUGGCGUGUUUGAACUUGAGUUUGUGGUGUUUUUUGAACUUGAGGUUGUGGAAAUUGUUAAACUUGAGAUUUCGGUGUUGGUUGAACUUGAGUUUGUGGUGUUUUUUGAACUUGAGUUUGUGUCGUGUUUGAAUUUGAGCUUGUGUGUUUUUUUAACCUUAAGUUUGUGGCAAUUUAUGAACUUGAGUUUUUUUAACUUGAGUUUGUGGUCUUUGUUCAACUUGAGUUUGUGGUUUUUAGUGAACUCUAGUUGGUGGCAUCUUUGAACUUGAGUUUGUUUGUUUUUUUAACUUGAGUUUUUGUCGUGAAUGAACUUGAGUUUGAGGUGUUUUUUGCAUUGAGGUUGUGGUGUUUUUGAACUUGAGUUUGUGUUGUUUUUGAACUUAAGGUUGUGGAAAUGUUAAACUUGAGAAUUGGGUAUUGGUUGAACUUGAAUUUGUGUGUUUUUUGAAUUUGAGAUUGUGGCGUGUUUGAAAAUGAGUUUGUGGCAUGUUUGAACUUGAGUUUGUGUUGUUUUUGAACUUGAGGUUGUGGAAAUUGUUAAACUUGAGAUUUGGGUGUUGGUUGAACUUGAGUUUGUGGUGUUUUUUGAACUUGAGUUUGUGUCGUGUUUGAAUUUGAGCUUGUGUGUUUUUUUAACCUUAAGUUUGUGGCAAUUUAUGAACUUGAGUUUCUUGAACUUGAGUUUGUGGUCUUUGUUCGACUUCAGUUUGUGGUUUUUAGUGAACUCUAGUUGGUGGCAUCUUUGAACUUGAGUUUGUGGCAUUUGUUGAACUUGAGUUUGUGAUGUGUUUGAACUUGAGUUUUUUGGUGUUUUUGAACUUGAGUUUGUGUCGUGUUUGAACUUGAGUUUGUGGCGUGUUUGAACUUGAGUUUCUGCUGUCUUUGAACUUGAGGUUGUGGCAAUUGUUAAACUUGAGGUUUGGGUGUUGGUUGAUCUUGAGUUUGUGUCUUGUUUGAACUUUUGUUUUUGGAUUUUUUGAACUAGAGUUUGUGUGUUUUUUGAACUUAAGUUUGUGGCAACUUAUGAACUUGAGUAUAUUGAAAUUAAGUUUGUGGCAAAUGUUGCACUUGAGCAAAUGUUGCACUUGAGUUUGUGGUUUUUUUUUAACUUGAGUUUUGUGUCGUGUUUGCACACCAGGUGUUUUUGAACUUGAGUUUCUGUGUUUGUUGAACUUGAGGUUGUGGCAAUUGUUGAACUUGAUUUUUGAGUUUGUAGCGUGUUUGAAUUUGAGGUUGUUGCAAUUUUUAAACUUGAGAUUUGGGUGUUGGUUGAACUUGAGUUUUUGAACUUGAGAUUGUGGUGUUUUUGAACUUCAGUAAGUGUGUUUGUUAAACUUUAGUUUAUGCUGUGUUUGAACUUGAGUUUUUGGUGUUUUUGAAAUUUACUUUGUGUGUUUGAACUUGAGUUUGUGUUGUGUUUGAACUUGAGUUUUUAGUGUUUUUGAUCUUGACUUGGUGGUGUUUUUGAACUUGAGUUUUGUGUUUGAACUUGAGUUUGUGGUGUUCGUUGAACUUGAGUUUGUGUCGUGUUUGCACUUGAGUUUUGGUCUUGAUUUUGUGUGUAUGUUGAACUUGAGUUUGUGGUGUUUUUGAACUUGAGUUGGUGGUGUUAUUGAACUUGAGCUUGUGUUUGAACUUGAGUUUGUGGUUUUUGUUGAACUUGAGUUUGUGUUGUUUUUGAACUUCAGUUUGUGUGGUGUUUUUGAACUUGAAUUUUUGUCGUGUUUCAACUUGAGUUUGUGGCGUGUUUGAAAAUGAGUU
RNAcentral lists this long non-coding RNA (2017 nucleotides) under Xyrichtys novacula (pearly razorfish). The record is from RNAcentral. Lineage: Eukaryota; Metazoa; Chordata; Actinopteri; Labriformes; Labridae.